RNAcentral lists this ribosomal RNA (726 nucleotides) under uncultured Glomeromycotina. RNAcentral's name for it is "SSU rRNA". It matches the Rfam family "Eukaryotic small subunit ribosomal RNA", at positions 373 to 1101 of the family's 1831-position model. Lineage: Eukaryota; Fungi; Glomeromycota. The record is from RNAcentral.
GGGCACGACACCGGAGAGGGAGCCUGAGAAACGGCUACCACAUCCAAGGAUGGCAGCAGGCGCGCAAAUUACCCAAUCCCGACACGGGGAGGUAGUGACAAUAAAUAACAAUACGGGGUUCUUUCGGAUCUCGUAAUUGGAAUGAGUACAAUUUAAAUCUCUUAACGAGGAACAAUUGGAGGGCAAGUCUGGUGCCAGCAGCCGCGGUAAUUCCAGCUCCAAUAGCGUAUAUUAAAGUUGUUGCAGUUAAAAAGCUCGUAGUUGAAUUUCGGGAUCAGAUUGUCGGUCGUGCCUCGGUACGCACUGGCAUUAUUGGUUCCUACCUUCUGAAGAACCGCGAUGUCAUUAAUUUGGUGUCGUGGGGAAUCAGGACUGUUACUUUGAAAAAAUUAGAGUGUUUAAAGCAGGCGCACGCUUGAAUACAUUAGCAUGGAAUAAUGAAAUAGGACGUUUGAUUCUAUUUUGUUGGUUUCUAGGAUCGACGUAAUGAUUAAUAGGGAUAGUUGGGGGCAUUAGUAUUCAAUUGUCAGAGGUGAAAUUCUUGGAUUUAUUGAAGACUAACUACUGCGAAAGCAUUUGCCAAGGAUGUUUUCAUUAAUCAAGAACGAAAGUUAGGGGAUCGAAGACGAUCAGAUACCGUCGUAGUCUUAACCAUAAACUAUGCCGACUAGGGAUCGGAUGAUGUUAAUUUUUUAAUGACUCAUUCGGCGCCUUACGGGAAACCAA